UUGUAAUGACGUUGUUUGAUAUUAGGACUAGCAGUAAAACUUUAUAUUCUGUAAAAAAAAGGCUUUUAUUUCCAGCGCCGCCUCCCAGAAUGCUUUGCAUGGGGACGUGCGUCUGACGUCACGUAUUCAGAAAAUUCGAAAUGGCUGCACGCGGGAGGUGAAAAGUGGAAAAGAGUGUUAUUCGUCAAAAAACCCACACAACGACGGUCAUUUUUUCGCCGUGCUAUUGUAAAAUUGUCUUUUAUCUGUGUUUUGUGAAGCCGUGGAGCUCGAGAUCCUGUUUACUGUGGACUAGCUGUGUGUGACGCCAUGUUGUUUUUGUUUCCAUUACAAAAAAAAAGCUCCACCGUCUCGCCGAGUGCCAGCAAGAGUCAUGAGUACUUGUCAACUCGACUCCUCAACUGGAGAUAACUUUCUAGCACCUCACCAUGGGGAAGGAUGUAUUCAUAUGCCUUCACCAGCACCUGCAUUAAACAUGCAGAGAGUUACACAAGUUCUUACCACCUUGGGGCACCAUUCAGGGUGCCUUUUCAUCUGAUUAAAUUUAUAAUGAACAGGGACAUUGCGGUUGUCCCAAGUGGAUGGUAUGAUGAUAGGAUGGUUUUCUGGCCCAGCUAUAAAAACACCGACAGAAUUGAAAGGGCAGCUUUAAAUGAGGAGCAGCAUGAGCCAAACUGGCCAAGAUUUGACGUUUCUGUUGUCCGAACUUGUGACAACUACAAAGACGCAUUAAAAAUAAUGCAACAAUAUGGAAAGGGCUGCGACACCUCAGACCUGCAAUCUGAGGCAGAGAACGAGGAGCUGCCAGAAAAAAGGAACAGGAAGCCAGUCCAUCGUCUCGGGGACUCAGAUGAUAGCGAAGAAGACCCGGGAAAUAGUGACCUCACAUCUCUGGGGUUGGCAAGCCAAUUGCACAGGCAGACUCCACCAUCUCGCCGAGUGCCAGCAAGAGUCAUAAGUACUUGUUAACUCGACUCCUCAACUGGAGAUAACUUUCUAGCACCUCACCAUGGGGAAGGACGCAUUCAUAUGCCUUCACCAGCACCUGCAUUAAACAUGCAGAGAGUUACACAAGGAACGGCAGUCCCUCCUCGACUCCCUCCACCCCCCUCACCAGCAGCCCUCAACAUGUGGCAGACAGAGGAGCCUGGAUCCAGCCUGGCCUACAGGCCAACAUGGCGAGGGGGAAGAAUGGCCGACAACAUUUCCUGCUCUGCGCCUGAGGUAAUCCACAUCCUUAGCCUGCUGGAAACUAUUAAGCACAACCAAGACCAGCUGAUUGCGAAGGUCAACUUCUUAAGCCUUGAAUAGGUGCUGUGAGUAAAAAUGUGUUGACAAGGUCAGCCACGGACGCUGAGGUCACCAAACACGCCAUCAGGUGGUUCAACUUGGCGGGGGAUCGGGCAACGAGGAGACGAGUCCCGCUUCCACCUCCUCAGGAGGAAUAGAGAUGUAUAUGUAUAAAUAAACAACCUUUUAUUGGACUUCUUGUCAUUCACCAGUUAUUCAUUUUCUGAUAUGUUAGCUGUGCAUGGAGCAGCGUUUCCUUGAAGUUGUAGCCUAAUAGAUUAAAUAUGUAUAUUUACUUUUUAAAUAUAUAUUAUAUAUAUUUACUUUAUAGAGUGAAUUGACCAUUUUCUGUUUCUGCCUAUUGACAAUAUUGUUAGUUUAAAAAUACAAGGCAAUGCAUAUGUAAGCCUAUAUUGCUGUAGUAGGGCUUAGUGAAUUUUUUAGUUGCCUAUUUUAUCCUA
Molecule: long non-coding RNA, 1751 nt
Organism: Entelurus aequoreus (snake pipefish)
Lineage: Eukaryota; Metazoa; Chordata; Actinopteri; Syngnathiformes; Syngnathidae
Exons: 13
Source: RefSeq, a predicted model, not a curated record